Molecule: long non-coding RNA, 862 nt
Filed under: Anas platyrhynchos platyrhynchos (common mallard)
Lineage: Eukaryota; Metazoa; Chordata; Aves; Anseriformes; Anatidae
Description: lncRNA (ENSAPLG00000017347.1)
Source: RNAcentral
UGCAGGUCAGAGCAAUUGUUGAGGGCUGUGCUGUGAGGGCUUGGGGGUGCUACCAGGCUCUUGCAGCCCUGAUCAGCUGCCAUGAGCCUCACAGGUCCCUUUCUAACCUGGGGCCCGCAGUCUCUGCCCCAGUGCUGCUGUAGGGUGCUGGUCUGUGCCCUGGGGCAGAGCUGCUGGGCCCAGCCCUGUCACUGAGGUGCAACCUGGGCUGGGCCUGGCCCUGGCUCCCCUCCUGGGGCUGAUCCCAUCCCUGCUCCCGGCCCGGGCAGGCUCCUGGCCCUCAGCAUUGCCUGACAGGAACACAGAAAUCUGCACCUCAAGAAAAUCCCCAAAUAUUCACAGUCCUGCUCUGGAAAUAUUUACUGACCAAGUGUGGAAGUCCUGCUUCAGACAAACAGCUUAGUGGCCUCCCUUUUCUUCCUCAGCACAUCUACCGCAAUGUGUGCUAACACAAGCUCGCCUUCCCUGUCUGGCAGUCAAUAUAUCAACCUUCUGGAAAUGGUGAAUGGAAACUUAGAAAUAAGGAGCCAUGCACAGGGAGUUCGGAGAUGCAGCUCAGGCUGAUGGAGAUGAUUGUGUUUGGGCUCCUUGGCUAGUAAGAUCUCCUUUAUCUGUGACUUCUUGCCUCCUGGAGAGCAGGACUUCAGGAACGGCAAAACACUUGAGGAAAGAUGAAGAGCAAUUGGAGGAACCCUGGAGGAAAAAAACAAGAAUGAUCAAAAGUCUAAAAACAGCCAUGACCUUUGGUGUAUGGCUGAAAGAAUGGUUCCUUAAAUGUGAAGGGGGGAACUCUAAGGGAGACAUAAUGUUCUUCAAAUAUACGUUAGCUGCAAAAGAUUGCUGUUCUCCAUGUACAGUAUAA